GAUUAUUGGACUGAAGUGACUUUCACAGAAACAGCCUCAUCAUCUCUAAAUGUCUCUUGAUGCAUGAAAACUAUUAAAUCUGAAUAAAUAAUAUAAUCAGAAAGACUCUGUACUGAUCAUCACACAUCUGAACUCAGGGUUUUUGCUCAGAGAGUCACUUUGCAUCGGCUCAUGCUUCAGCGCUCCGAGUGUUUAUAGCGUUCAGACUCAAACACUUUAUAACACACUGCUGUUUACCACGGUACAAACCCAACAAACACCAUGAAUCUCUUCAGCAGCUUCAUCUGGAUUCUGGCAGCUUUUAUUCCAGCAUCCAGAGGAAUCACUGUGACUCAGCCUGAAGCUGUGACUGUUUCUGAAGGACAAAACGCCAAAAUAGAGUGUAAAACUGAUCCUGGGAUAGAUGGCUGGGGUUUAGCUUGGUAUCAGCAGAAACAUGGAGAAGCUCCUAAACUCAUUAUUUAUUCUGUAAAUGAUCGAUAUGAUGAGAGUUUCAGUCGAUUCAGUGGGAAUGGAAGAUCUGGAGGGACUGAUUUCACUCUGACCAUCAGUGGAGUCCAGACUGAAGAUGCUGGACAUUAUUACUGUAACAGUCGCCACAGUAUCAGUGGUAAAUAUGUGUUCACACAGUGAUAAAGAGUCGUACAAAAACCUCCAUCAGUCAGAGUCACAGUGACUGAACUGAUACUGCAGCUGCUCACACACUUUCACACACUUUCACACACUUUCACACUGAAGAAAAACUCAAUAUGAUCUUAUUGAACAUCACUUUUGUUGAGCUGAAUCAGUUUUUAAACAUUUUGAUUAUGAUUUUUUAGAAGUCAUAUUUGUCUCCUGUUAUCCUAUAACAUCCUUUAUGUAGAAAUUCAGUCACUUUUGAUCUUCACAUUUUUUUAUCCUUCACAUUUUUUUUUGAUUUUCUGCAUUUAUGAUUUAUCUUUAUUCUUCUUUUUAAACUAAAUCAUAUCAUAAACAUGUUCUGUUUGAUCAGUUUAAUAAUCUAUUGAUUUAUUAACUUCAUCCCUCAUAAUGCAGAUAUUAACAGCAUCAUAUAAACACAUUCCUCAGUUUCACAGCAGAUGAUAAUAAUUUAUAUUAAUAUCUAUGUAUAGAGGAAUUAUCAAUUAUAUUAAAAAAGGUUAAAGACCAGAUUACCCAACAGGUGCUGUCCAUGAUCAAAAACAGCACAUGUAUGUCACCAAAAAAUUUUUGGAUGAAGAGAAUGGAUAUAGUGCCAGACACAAAUCCAAAUAAAUUAAAUACUCAUUAUUAAAUUAAUUAAUUAAUUAAUUUUUAGAGCUUUGAAUAGAUUAUGGGUAUGAUUAUAUUGUUAAUGUAUCAUUGUAUCUAUUUCCGGUGUGAUCAAUGUCAGUAUAUUAUAAUAAUAACACGGCACUGAUGAAGGAUUGAUCCCGAAAACAUUUUGCACUCUUUGUACUUUAUUUGAGGCCUCUGGAUAAUAAAUUCUUGUGAACUUUUAUGGCCAUUUUUCAUGUGCGGAUCUUAUUUGUUUUUUAAUCUUGGAGCUAUUUUUGGACCUAUGCACCACCAGAAGUUUGUGUAUUUAAUUUAUUUGGACUUGUGUCUGUUGCUACGCUUUUCCAAUCUUUUCAACCAUAUUUUUUAAAAUUAUUUUAUAAAUAUUUCUAAAAGUGAAGAUGUUUCUAUCAUGUGACUCACAAUCAAACUCAGUUGAUUCAGUGAUUGACAGAGACUCGUGUGUGAUGAUCCUCAUGUCUGUUCAGAAACUGCAGGAACACACAUGGAUUUGGUGUAAAUUUGGGGAUUAACAGUGACGUUUCAAUCCAACUACAGUAAAAAUAUUCUCAGAGUCUCACAGCAGAUAUUCAGAUUAAUAUACUGAAGUUGGUCUUGUAGAUUUAUUCAGAAUUGAAUUAUACAAUUUUUAACAGUUUGUCUGUUAGAAGAUUGAAUGAUAUGAAAAAUACUGAUUUUUACUAGAUGUUCACUUCAGUAAUUGUAUUUUGUGUCUGUUAAUGAGUGAAGGUCUUCUGGUAAAUGAUCUGGAGUGUGUUUGCAUAUUGAUCAGAUGCUUCAGUGCUCUGAGAGUGUUUAUAGUGCUGUGAGUUUAACACUUCAUCACUCAGAGCUUUUCUUCAUUCAAACUGAAAUUAAACCACCAACAAGCAGAACGAUGAUCAUCAGCGUCAGUAUCUGGACUCUCAUUCUUUCUGUUCAAGGAAUUACAGGACAAGUUUCUGUGACUCAAACUCCCUCAGCAGCAGCUGUUCAACCAGGAGAAACAGUUACUAUAAACUGUAAAACUAGCAGAGGAAUCGGAGAUCGUUCAGCGGGUUGCCGUAAAUGUCUCGCCUGG
This is a long non-coding RNA of Megalobrama amblycephala (Wuchang bream), 2338 nucleotides long. RefSeq lists it as uncharacterized. NCBI's taxonomy places the organism in Eukaryota, Metazoa, Chordata, Actinopteri, Cypriniformes, Xenocyprididae. The record is from RefSeq and is a predicted model, not a curated record. The transcript is spliced from 4 exons.